AUUGAACGCUGGCGGCAUGCCUUACACAUGCAAGUCGAACGGUAACAGGUCUUCGGAUGCUGACGAGUGGCGGACGGGUGAGUAAUACAUCGGAACGUGCCCGAUCGUGGGGGAUAACGAAGCGAAAGCUUUGCUAAUACCGCAUACGAUCUACGGAUGACAGCAGGGGACCGCAAGGGCUCGCGCGAACGGAGCGGCCGAUGGCAGAUUAGGUAGUUGGUGGGAUAAAGGCUGACCAAGCCGACGAUCUGUAGCUGGUCUGAGAGGGCGACCAGCCACACUGGAACUGAGACACGGCCCAGACUCCUACGGGAGGCAGCAGUGGGGAAUUUUGGACAAUGGGCGAAAGCCUGAUCCAGCCAUGCCGCGUGCAGGAUGAAGGCCUUCGGGUUGUAAACUGCUUUUGUACGGAACGAAAAGACUCUGGUUAAUACCUGGGGUCCAUGACGGUACCGUAAGAAUAAGCACCGGCUAACUACGUG
Molecule: ribosomal RNA, 482 nt
Filed under: uncultured bacterium
Lineage: Bacteria
Description: partial 16S ribosomal RNA
Rfam family: Bacterial small subunit ribosomal RNA
Source: RNAcentral